GAUGAACGCUGGCGGCGUGCCUAAUACAUGCAAGUCGAGCGAAUGGAUUAAGAGCUUGCUCUUAUGAAGUUAGCGGCGGACGGGUGAGUAACACGUGGGUAACCUGCCCAUAAGACUGGGAUAACUCCGGGAAACCGGGGCUAAUACCGGAUAACAUUUUGAACCGCAUGGUUCGAAAUUGAAAGGCGGCUUCGGCUGUCACUUAUGGAUGGACCCGGGUCGCAUUAGCUAGUUGGUGAGGUAACGGGUAACCAAGGCAACGAAACGUAGCCGACCUGAGAGGGUGGUCGGCCACACUGGGACUGAGAAACGGCCCAGACUCCUACGGGAGGCAGCAGUAGGGAAUCUUCCGCAAUGGACGAAAGUCUGACGGAGCAACGCCGCGUGAGUGAUGAAGGCUUUCGGGUCGUAAAACUCUGUUGUUAGGGAAGAACAAGUGCUAGUUGAAUAAGCUGGCACCUUGACGGUACCUAACCAGAAAGCCACGGCUAACUACGUGCCAGCCGCCGCCGUAA
Molecule: ribosomal RNA, 515 nt
Filed under: uncultured bacterium
Lineage: Bacteria
Description: partial 16S ribosomal RNA
Rfam family: Bacterial small subunit ribosomal RNA
Source: RNAcentral